CACAAUUAUUAAAUUCAUUCUUUAUAAUCGUGUUUCAAGAUGGAUGCGGAGGUACCAACAACAAAUAAUUUUGUUGGCUAAGUGGAACAUGAAUCUCUUAUUAACUACCAUUCGAAGAGAGAAACCACAAGGUUCAACUAAUCAGAGCCUAAGUACUAAUUAAGCAUGAGGGAUGUGAAAAAAAUUGAUUAAAAUUGAAAAAAGGUGAGGAAGGUCAAUCUAGAAGAAUUGUGUAUUUUGGUCGAAAACCUAUGAAAACUUCAGAUGAUGAUUUUACUUCACAUAUUAGCAUAUCAGCUGGGCAGUAGUGAUACUUGGUUCAAAGUGCUUGGAAUGAGGAUUUUUAUGUGUUACAAAGAUACAAAGUAAUGAUUGUUCUAUAUGGUUGUUCUAUUUUUCACAUUUAGGAAAGAAGUAUAAAAAUUAAAGUUCGUGAAAUUGUCGUGUGCAUAUGUUUCGCGACAUAUAGCAUCUUUGUAUUGUAACAUAUGAUUUCUUUUAACCGUAAAACUUUUGUUCUAAUAUAUAUGCUUUAGAAUUCACUUUUGCCUGAUA
Long non-coding RNA from Trifolium pratense (red clover), 555 nucleotides. RefSeq lists it as uncharacterized. Lineage: Eukaryota; Viridiplantae; Streptophyta; Magnoliopsida; Fabales; Fabaceae. The transcript has 2 exons. The record is from RefSeq and is a predicted model, not a curated record.